Non-coding RNA from Pelobates cultripes (western spadefoot toad), 455 nucleotides. The record is from the annotation of a GenBank genome assembly. NCBI's taxonomy places the organism in Eukaryota, Metazoa, Chordata, Amphibia, Anura, Pelobatidae.
UACAGCGAAGAGCUUUAUAUUGUGAGAAUCACAAGAUCCAGACCUACAUUUUGAUGCAUAGUAUGUCUCUGAAAUAUUAACAAUGAAGGUACAGUCGCAGUUUAGAAAUUGCCCUUCAAAUUUCAGGUGGCUAGAGUGGAGUUUCAAACAAAUGGUCAUAUUGUGAAAACUAUGGCUUAGCCGUGGACAUGUUUAGUGGCAGCAGGGAUAGCUGAACGUUUUGAAAUAAGAUUUGUGUAGGUGGGCCUGAAAAUAAGGGAGUGGUGGCAGUUUAGAAAUCAUGCCCUGAUUUUUCAGCUUUUGCCAGCUCCCACUCUAGCUUUGAACAUUUCGCCAUUCAUUCCUUUGGGACCAAUUUCGCCUCAAAAACAACAUUUUGUGAACCAUUCAGCAAAACGUUCCACAAAGUAAUUGCACACCAAUCGGGAACAAUCUGCACGUUUCGGUAUAUUACU